CAGUCGCCACGGGAAUACGUGGGUGCGAGCGUUAAACGGAAUUACUGGGCGUAAAGCGUGCGCAGGCGGUUAUGUAAGACAGUUGUGAGAUCCCCGGGCUCAACCUGGGAACUGCAUCUGUGACUGCAUAGCUAGAGUACGGUAGAGGGGGAUGGAAUUCCGCGUGUAGCAGUGAAAUGCGUAGAUAUGCGGAGGAACACCGAUGGCGAAGGCAAUCCCCUGGACCUGUACUGACGCUCAUGCACGAAAGCGUGGGGAGCAAACAGGAUUAGAUACCCCUGUAGUCCCUGUCUCUUAUACA
This 301-nucleotide ribosomal RNA is filed under the name uncultured bacterium. RNAcentral describes it as "partial 16S ribosomal RNA". It matches the Rfam family "Bacterial small subunit ribosomal RNA", at positions 509 to 808 of the family's 1533-position model. The record is from RNAcentral.